This is an RNA transcript of Macadamia integrifolia, 3461 nucleotides long. It is a transcript of the gene named putative disease resistance protein RGA1, with no coding region annotated. Lineage: Eukaryota; Viridiplantae; Streptophyta; Magnoliopsida; Proteales; Proteaceae. The record is from RefSeq and is a predicted model, not a curated record. The transcript has 2 exons.
CGUAAGAAGCUCACCUCUGUAUUCUGUUUCUUACAGGGAGAAGCCAUGGAAAGAAGUAGAGAGAACAUAAUUGUUUCCCUUCUCGUACCAGUCUUGCUUGAAAAAUUAUCCUCACAGGCAUUAAUGGAUUUUGGAUCGGUUUGGUGUGUUCAGAGUGAGCUACUUGCACUCUCAGAUGUUCUUGGGAAAAUUCAAGAACUGCUCAAAUUUGCAGAGUACUCUCAAUCAAAGAAUAUCUUGGUUAAACGCUGUCUUAGAAAUCUCAGAGAUGUUGCUUACAGAGCUGAGGAUAUAUUGGAUGAGUUCAUGUAUGAAGCUCGUAAGGGAAAAGAUGAAAGAUAUCAAGGUGGAAACAAGGUACAUUUCUUUCCCUUUAACCUAAAUGCAAAUGGGCUUUUAAGGAAAGCUGAAAUUGUGCCUCUUGUAAAUGAUGAACUCAUAAAUAAACUAGUGGAGAUUGAGAAGAAACUUGAAGAUCAUUAUCUUAGAGAGUCAGGAAAUUGGAAAUCACAUGGGGUGAAUGAUGAAUUAAUAGAUACUAGACCAAAGAGUAGUUCUCUAGUUGAUGAAUCUUUUACUUUGGGGAGGAAGGGAGAUGAAGAUCAAAUUAAAGCUAAGUUGUUUUCAUAUCCAGAUGAAAAUCAAAAUCAGGUUUCUGUUAUUGCCAUUGUUGGAUUGGGAGGUGUAGGGAAGACAACUCUAGCCCAGAUUCUCUAUAAUGAUCCUGUUGUAGAGAAACAUUUUGAAAUUAGGGCUUGGGUUUGUGUGUCUACUGGUUUUAAUGCUGUGAGAUUGACUUCUGAAAUUUUAGAGUCAUUGACAGGGGAAAAUCCUAACUUGAGCAGCCUGGAACCACUUCAACGUAAGUUGAGAGAGAAAUUAAGGGGGAAGCGAAUUUUAAUCGUGUUAGAUGAUGUUUGGACUGAAGAGCACAAUGAUUGGAAAGCAAUUAGAGUUGUAUUCAUGGUGGCAAGGGAAGGAAGCAGAAUAAUUGUAACAACUCGAAGUAGAAGAGUUUCCUCAAUGAUGAACCCCAUGUAUACCCAUGAUCUACAAAUUUUAUCUGAUGAAGAGUGUUGGUCAAUAAUGGAAAGGCGCAUAUCUAUAGAUUAUGGCUCUAUUGCUCCCAGCUUGGAAGCAGUGGGUAGAAACAUUGCGAGGAAGUGCAAAGGAUUGCCCUUGGCAGCAAGUACACUUGUAGGCCUUUUAUGCUCUAGUUUAGAUUUAAACCAUUGGGAAUUAGUCUUGAAUAGUUGCAUGUGGAAUUUAGAAGAAAGCAAUUUGCCAGCUGCUCUAAGCCUAAGCUAUUAUUUUCUUCCCACAUCUUUGAAGCAGUGUUUUGUUUAUUGUUCUGUAUUUCCCAAAGAUUAUAAAUUCGAUAAGCAACAUCUCAUCGAACUAUGGAUGGCAGAAGGAUUUAUUAGAUCAAACACAAGAAUGGAAAACAUAGGUGGCCAAUAUUUUGAUGAUUUGCUACAUCGAUCUUUCUUUCAGCACUACAAUGAAGACGGAGGUGGCCUCUAUUCUGAUAGAUUUGUGAUGCAUGACCUUAUACAUGAUUUAGCAGAAGCACUGUCAGGAGAGAUGUAUGGUAGAUUUGAUUGUAGGGAAUCGUAUCGUAGCUCCAAAGAGGCCCAUUGUUUGUCCAUGUGUUGUGCGAAAUAUAUGUCUAAGGAUGAAAAUCAUGAUCACAACAGGUUAUCCACAUUGAUACAACUAAAUUAUUGUGUAAGUUACACCAGGGAUGACUCUAUUAAUUCUCUUGUAGGACUGAGAUACUUGCGUGUCUUAGAUUUGUAUGGUUCUGGUAUUUGGAUGCUUCCGGAUGAUAUUGGUGAUUUGAAGUACCUACAAUAUAUUAACCUCUCUUAUGCUCGUAACAUUCAACGGUUACCUGAGACAUUGUGCAAUCUUCACAAUCUACAGUCAUUGAUACUCCGUUAUUCUGGAAUAUCUGACUUACCUAGAGGUAUGAAGUAUCUACAAAAUCUCCAGCAUCUAGACCUUCAUGAGUGCAGUAACUUGUGGUCCAUGCCAAAAGGAAUUGGGAGAUUAACUAGUCUCAAGAAAUUGUCUUUGUUUCCUGUCUCGAAAGAUGAUGAUGGUUGUGGGAUAAGAGAGCUGAAGGAAUUGUGUCAGCUUGAAGGUUCGCUUUUGAUAUGCUUACUACAGAAUGUGAUUGAUCCUGUGGAUGCUAGGAAAGCUGAUUUGAUGAAUAAAGCAAAAAUUGAUGAGUUGGUGUUGGCAUGGAGAGGCAGUAAUGAUAGAGAUGUUGAGGUUUUUGAAGGUUUGCAACCCCAUACUGAGCUGAAGAGUUUACAUAUCCACUAUUACUAUGGUUUGGCAUUUCCAAAAUGGUUGAUGGUAGACUUGCCAAGUUACAAGAAGUUAGUCUCUCUGACACUAACCUUCUGCUGGGAAUGCAGUCUCCUCCCACCGAUUGGGGAGCUACCCCUAUUGGAAUCUCUAUGCAUAGAAAACAUGCCUGAGUUGGAGGAGUGGUCUAGCUCUAGAGGAGAGGAAACUGAAUUCCCUAGCCUCCUAAGGCUAACCAUUGCAAGCUGUAACAAACUAGGCAUACUACCACAGACACUUCUAUCAAGUCCGAGAUUAUGUGAAUUGAGUAUCCAUUUCUGUCCAAGUCUCAGGUUGUUGCCUCAUACAGGACUAAGCAAACUCACCUCUCUCAGAAAUCUUCGUCUUGGGUAUUGGAUGGAAGGGUUUGUGCAAUCUCUGGGUGAGUCUGGGACUCUACCUCCAAAUCUUAAUCGCCUUUACAUCCAUGAUUGUAAAUCACUACCCAAGGGGUUGAGAAACCUGUCUUCACUCAAACAUCUAACAUUUGGUGAAUUUUUUAAAGGCCACUAUGGCCCGGAGGAGCUCCCCACAAAUGUCAUUGCAACCAGGGAUGGAUGAUGCCUAUGCCGCCAAAAGGUUUGCCAAUACAAUGCAUGUAACUUUAACCUACCUUGCCAAAUCUUUUGAUGACUAAUAAAGGUCUCUUCAAUGAUCUGAUCCUUCGAACAUGAGACAGAUACAUCCUCCUUCAGCUCUUGGGCUGCCUUCAAGAGCCGUGCCCGCCUCCAUAGGGCCUUGGACCUACAGUGCUCUUCUUGUGAAAGGAGCAGAGUUCACCUAAGGGCAGCCCAUGGCAGUCGACUAGACGUAGAGAAGACUGCUGGCCUGGGAGAAGCCACCUGAUGGAAUAGACUGAGAUUGCAUUUGGUACACAUUAUUGGAAUACAUUCUAAGUUGAUUAUGUAUUAUGAAAUUAUAAUUUUCAUUGCAUUAUUGAUACAGCAAAUUGAGUCUGAACUCCAUGUCAAGGCCACCAGUUUUCAGCAAUGAUGGUAAAGAUGUACUGAUCUUAGGCAUUACAGGCAAUUCUCUGAGAUGAUCCACUUUGACAGAAAUGGAUUUUGCUCUUUGUAACCAUUGCUGGUUACAAUAAGACUGAUCAU